AGCCCGUUGUCCACAGGUGGGCUGAUUUUCAUGUCGUUGUCUUUAAUUUAAUUUUGUUUCCACUUUAAGUGUAAUAGUAUCUAAAGUUCUUGCUAAUUAGCCAGUCCCUUAAGUAUGAGGGUCUGCUGUCAGAGCUAAUCCAGGUACGCGUUCAUGACAGGAGCAGCAGUGGAAGUGUGCUGAGCCCUAAGUAUCUGGAAGUGGAGGAUUUAUGUCUGUGGAGGUCUGUCUGCGAUCGCAGGGGAAAGAGAUUUCCUCCGCUUUAUGGAAUCGGCAAGAACAAAAGAACCUACCAGCAGUCUGUAACGUGAAGAGUGUAUACUCCUUGAAACCUGCUUUUUCAGCCCCAGGUACCAGAGGUGAAAUCAUCCUGAUUAGCAGAUAGAGGUCUGUUCUUCUAAGAAGAGAAGCAGAGCAAGGAAGGUUAUCCCUAGAGGAGUCAUCAGCUAGCGGUUCGUGCACUGUAGGAAACAGAGGCAGCAAGCGGGCAGCCACCUUAUCUGCUCCUCCCACCUGUGCCGUGCUAGAUCCUGCUACCAGCUUCUGAAAUGUGAGGACUGAAUCUGCUUUCAUUGCUGCAGCAGUCCUACCUCCUCCAAUGCAAGCAGGCUCAGCGGGGUAAGCACACUGUCUUCAUAAGGCUCAGAAUCCGAAGAACUUUGCAGAAUUUGGUAAAUGGAACUAUUACCUUGUCCUGUCUGCUUACAGCUUGUGUUUGAGUUCUUAAGGAUUUGAGGGAAAGCUGGAGCCUCGCACUUACUCUCCACAACCACUGUAAACUAUUUUUGAGUAUGGCUCCUGGAAUCUGAAAGUUAUAUUUAUUCACUGAGUAAUAAUGUUAGUAGUGCCAAUAGCAAUGGGAAGUCCACAGUAAGAGUUCUGAAAUUAUAUAAAAAUAGUUGAGUUACAGCAAUAAAUAGCAUCAUUUGCGCUUUUGAAAACACCAAAGUUCUGAUGCAGUUUGGUUUGGAAUGCUGAAUGAGGCAAUAGGCUUCCUUCAGCUACGUCUGUACAUCCCUCCCUGUAACCAGCACUGUGAGCGUGCCCUUCAGAGAAAACUGCCUCGUCUACAGACGAGUGAGCAGCCUCAGCCGCCGUACUCGGGAGGAGCACAGCAUCAGGAACAGCACCGUAACACAGGGGAAUAGCCUACGCCAGUUAGGGUCCGUGGUACUCACACACUUCUAGGCUAGCGGGUACACUUUUCAAAGGCUUAAACAAUGUUCUGUUUAAUCCUUAUCAACAGUCAAAAGAACAGGUUAAGCACAGUCCAAAAGAAAUAACCAAAUACACAAACUGGAGCCAUUAUCUACUGUGGCUCCCUGGGUGCGGGUAACUCAAAGGGUAACUUUUCAGGUGCUUGCACGUCAGCAAUGUGAUUGUUACAAAAGUUCAGUAUUCGGGCCAUCCUCCUGUAACUUCUCAACACAGAGCUGUGAACUACUUCUUGUUUUCCUUCCCCAUCUACUUACCACCUUUAGCAGCUAAAUACUUGCUGCAUUAGAAAAGAAUUUUCCAGGGGAGAGAAGCAGGGAGCCUUGGUAGCAGAGUCCAACAGGACGCACACUUUAAAGCACUGUUGAGCCAAUGCACUUGCACUUGUUGAAUUCCUUAUUUUACUUGAAAAUUAUACAUAGAAAUAUACAAAAGCGAUGCACUAAAUCAGUUUCAUUUGCAUAACGGACCUUUAUGGAUUUUGAUUUCCAGUCACAGACCAUCCACACAUCAACUGAUACCACGCUUUCUCCUUAGACAAUAAUCCUCUGCCUUUCACCUUAGAGUUGAGAACUGGUUUAAUUAUAACCUUCAUUCCUGUAUGCCUUCAUGAAAGGAUAUUAAAAGGUAAACUAAGUUGAAAGUAAAGCUGUAGGGGGCCCCUUGCUUUGAGUCAAAGGUUUACAAAGUAACGCUUUCAGAGUGUAGGUUACUCCGCAGUUUUAGGCCAGUUUUGUGUUCACACUUGAACCUUGCACAGCAAAAGGCCGUAGCGCGGGCAGACCUUCAGCCCGGUGGCUGAACUACUCCAGGGAGCAAACAUGAAAAUGAGAUUUCCUAGCUGCUGUGAAUAAAGCGGGGAAAGAAGAUUAGAAGGUGACUCUCGGAAAGCCCCAACACUGGAUCACUGUCCUUAGCAAUUGUCACAGCAAAGCUGAGAAGCUUGAGAAGGUUUUGUACACCUGCAAAAGCAGAGCAGCUGUUUUCCUGAUGUAGGGUGUUACAGCCCGCUACACGGGGGACAUCCACGGAGAGAACCGCAGCACUGAAAGCUCCUGCAACGUUCAGUGGAAGCAACUGGGUCUCCCCACCUAAGAGCCAGAUUCUAUAUGCAUAAAGAGCCUUAAAUGAGAUGAGAACAGGGUAACGAGAGUGUAAGACCACGGGGCAGAAGGUAGAAUCUAGAGUGACACACAGCUUUCAGAGCCUCAUCCUUGACACCGGUGAAAUGAAGAGAUCCUGCUGAAUUGGUACCUCCCUCCACAAGCUUCACCAUCAACAGUUUUAACUACUUUGCCUUGGCAGAUGCGCUGAUGGACAAUAGAUGCACAACACAGUAUCUUACACUCUCCGCUGAAAACAGCUGUUCUUCAGGGGACCAGGGACCAACAACGCAAGGCUGCGAUUCUUCCCCAACCUGUACGAGAUGUGUGCUCAAUGGCAGGUAGCCACGAGUGAACCAGGGGAGCCACGUGGCACCUGCACCGACGUCUGAUAGAGCUGGGCAGGCCCCUGCGGCAGCCAUCAGGUGCUCAUGCUGUGCUGCCAGUCCGUACCAACAGAAAACAAGCAAAAUGCGUGUGUGGGCGCGUAACGCAGUGUUAGCCCGUCUUCCCCAAGGACGCGAAGAUACAAUGGCAGCAAACAGAACUACUUAAAGCAACUGUAAAAUAAAAGUGCAUCAACCUAGAUAAAGCUCACGUUGGUGGAUGGUGUCAGUCGUUUGAAAACUGAAGGGUUACCAAAACAGGAACAUGCACGUAAAAGAAAAGAAAAAGCCAUGGUUAAUUAGCAUUUCCGUAGUAGGGUUUCUUGAGCGUCUAUUAAAAAAACGACAAAAGACACACGCGUGUGGCCUAACAGACAUCAGAGGUUGAUACUGGCCAUAGUGCUAAAGAACUGGAGGCUACGUUCCUCCCUUAGCAGUGUUUUGUUAAAAAAUAAUAUUCUGAAUUCCUUUAAGCUUUUGGAACACCCUACCCCUGAAGAAUUGUGUUAAGGCUGCCUAGCCCUGCUUUAUUCUGUGUCCUUUCCCAACAGCAUCACUCCAGGUCUGCUUCAUGCUUUUUUGUAUCUCUCUCAGGCUACCGCUGUUAGAAAUUUUCCAAGACGAAUGCACCAUUUUUCAUUAGCGCUCUCUACUUCCCAUCUUGAUGCUUUGUGAAGAUCCUGCUUCUAUCCUUUUGAUGAAAGGACAGGAAAAACAUCCCACGUAACAACACGUUCUCUUUUUAAGCUGCCUGGCAAUAGCACACAAGAUGUGUGCUCUACAAAUCGAAGCUCUGCUUCUGCAGAUGUUUUCUCUGGAGCCUUGUUUCUUUGGUACCUUUCCCUUUCAGCAGUCCUGUCCCAGGCCCAAAACCCAUGCACCCUUUUAAAAAUCUGUUUUCCUUCGAGUCUGUGACACCCCUGCCUUUUAAUGGUGACGUGUUUUUUUGCCCCUUCCCUUCUUGGCUGCAGUAGAUGUUACUGGAACGGAACCUCCUACAUGUCACUCACGACCGAGCGUCACCUUUGCUGCCCUCCCGUUGCACGACUGGCGCCUCGGCGUGUUUCGGCUUCCAUUGCUCUUUCUGGUAUCAACAACAUAUUUUGCAAACAAGGUCUAGAAGCCAAAGACACUGGCUUUCCGGCCCAGCAGAGCAAAGCAUCAGCCAAUUUCUAUUUGUAAUACAGUGCGACUGUCUGACGUUGAACCCUUGCGAGAAGCAGGGCUCUCCUGAGCAUGAAGGGACAGACAGCAUUAUUUUUUACGUGCUAGUUUGCUGCGUCUGAGAACAUUAAGGCUUGGGCCCAAUUUCAGAAAAACCUAUGGCAAGCUGGGUUUCGUGUUGCGUUGUGACCCUACUGGCAGAUGGUAAUGCUGUAUUUCAAAGGGUAAGUACAGUUGCCUCUUUCCCAGUACUUACCCUUAUGAAAUAAGCUGUGGGGGUGCAGUUCCCAGUAGGCAGAUAAUUUCUUCAAGACUUGAUGCCUGAACCCAGAGAUUUGGCACAACUCUGCGAUGGAAUUCAUUCACCGAUUCAGACACAGAUGCUUUUAAGGUGUGUUAAAAAUGCACACGCAGUGCAGUCAGUCUGAGUGUUGGAUUUGGCAUCAGAAUGUCUCAGUUAGAUGCAAGAAUGUGUAAAAUCACGAGCCAGACAGCUCCCUGCUGACUGCAUAUCUGAGGAAGCUUAUAUGCACCGUUUAUUCCAGCAAAUGCAUGGAAUAUAUAGUGCUUGUUAAAUGUGUUCCCAAAAUGCUAGUUUCAGGCAGAAACAUGCAAAUAAAUGGUGCCUAGGGUUAAAACCUCCCACUUACAGUCAAAUCCCUCCUCUUUUGAAGGAUCUACCAGCUCAGAUGCUGCAGACCUUUAUCUGACCCAAUAUACUUUUAGGAGAACUACAGCAUGCUGAAGAAGCAACUGUUUAUCAUGUAGGCCGUUCCCGCCUACUUCUUAGAGAUGUAGCCCUUCUCCCCCCAUCCCCUUUCUUUUGUGUAAAAGACCAAACCAAAACUGGACACUACCCAUUGGUUUUAUGAUUGUAUACAGCUUCUUCAGGCUCCAAGUUCAAAAGGAAGUGAGAAAACCUUAAUGAAGACACCAAGAGUCAUUUUUUUAAAAACAGCAGAGCGGCAGAUGUACUCGCCCAAAUGGCACGUUCUUAGACGUCCAUACGAGAAAUCCAAGAUCGGGUAAGCUGUAUGGGGUUGCAUAUACUAGAUACCUACAUGGCACUUAGACCAGUCCUACUCCGUGCAUUAACCUGCGUUCAACCACUGGCACUCGCUCCACCUCUGACUGCAACAGCUCUGCAGCCAACAAACACUUUUUCAAGCACUUUGGUAUCAUCCAGCUUAAGAAGUUAACAAAAUGUAACACUGCCAUCUCAGUUUCUGAUUUCUCCCAGACUCUGCUGAUCACAGAGUGAUGACUAGAGUUGUCAGCUUAAAGUUUCCUGUCUCACAAAUGUGUUGAAAAAUACUCCCAUUCGCCUUCUGAUUCAACGUAAAGGAUAUGGUUCUUAGCAGGGAUUUCUUGCAAACACCUAUCUGAAAAACAUGAGCUGAACGUGCCUUAGCGAAGACUAAAGCACCCAUGGCCGUAAAUUACUACGCCUCAGGGCAUAGUGCGAGGUCUAAAAACUUCUGCACACAGCCUGCCGACAGGCAGGGCAGUGAGGCAGAUGGAGCCUUAUUUCUGUGCUCAGGUCUACAACGGUCCCAUCAAAAACCAUCGAUGCUGGCCGAGCAAUGCCCAGUUGUUGUAAAUGCAAACACGGUCACCUUACUUUGAGCAUAACAGCAACGUUUCCAUGUUGUACUCCUAUCUUUCUGGGAAAGCAAUUCCUCUUUGGGGAGGAAAGCGAACCAGGGGCCCUGCCCAGCGCCAGGACAUUAACUGCUAGGUGUGCAUGAAGAGCUCUGCAAAGUGAACUAUGAUGGCUGCGAGUUUCCUCUUCAGACCCUCCUUUAUAUACUUUUCCAUUAGCACAACUAGGGCUGCAGCAGGCACAGCAAAGUUUUCCAGCACAAACUUCACCUAAAAAAAAAGCUACUCGCAAAGUUUGUUUUGAUUUUUAAAGUCAGCAGUUGCAAGAACAACUCAAAUCUACUGGCUGUACUUACAAAACUGAUAAAAAGCGGUCCACAUGUUAACAGCAACAUUAGGUGAAAAAAUUAUCUAUAAAAAUACCAGCCACAUGCUAAAUGAGGUGACAUCAAGGCAAUAAAUAGCUCCAUCUGUAUGAAAGAGUUUGUAGAACAACCCAGAAGACAUCUCUGAACAAAAAACUAACUAGCUAUGGAUAAAGUAGUACUGAAAAAAAGUGGGUUGGAUUGUUUUUGGUUAAAAAAAAAAAGAGAAAAAAGAUCAGUUUUACAUAUUUUUCUCAGAUCACUUUAUAAAUCUGCUGCACAUUAGAAAUCAGACACACAUGUAUUUUUUCGAAGCAAAGCAAGUUGAAGGUUUACAUUUUUAAUAGCAAUGUGACUAUUUCUGAAUGGCAGCAGUAUAUAUUACAUGCAGUGUGAGAGGGUUAAACAGGACAGCCUCAACUCUUUAUAAACUUUUGCCCUCUGGAUAUGUACUCAUUGGCUGCUGUACAAGACUUGAGCUGUAUUACACGCCUUCACGAUAUGGUUCAACUGUCGGUCAGGCUCGGGGCCUGGCAAUAGGCCAGACCGCAAUCAAUGGGACACAAACCUCCCCCUUUCAGAUCAUCACGAAGGCUCAUAUUAUCUCCUUUUUGUCGUGCUGGUUAAAUUUAUGGAGCAGAACCCCGAAGCUGCAUUCCUUGGCUUGGGCCGGCCCACGCGGGCCUCCCUUUGUUUGGUACUGUAAGCGAGGCGUGCUUUGGAGGAUUGCAGGGUUGUUAGUUCAGGCACUGACUGUUUGCUCAUGACUGAAAUGAAAAGAGUUCAGUGGAAGGGCAAAAGGACAGCACAAGUGUAAAACCCCAUCCCAGCAGGCCCUGGGCUCCCAUCGACAGACUCUGGACUAGGACCGAACAGAAAACCUCUCCGUUAACGACAAAGGAAAAAAAAUCUCUCUAGUAACAGGUAAACAGCCCAGCAGCGUUAGCACACACCUUGCCCCAAGGUCCCUUGCUUUCAGGUCACAAAAUUAUGGAUGUAAGAAACCUUUAAUGUGAUGUCAAGGCAAAAUCAUCUGGAGUGAAAGCAAAUGGAACGACUACUUGAAAGACAGUAUUCCAAAUACAUGCAAGAGACAUACAGACACGGGAAACCACAGGGACUCUUACUGAUUAUGCACGUAACAUAAGUCUCUCUGAUUCCGUUCUGGGAGGUACCAUCGCAGACUGGUUAAAGCUGCAGCCCUCUGUAAUUGUUCCAGAGCACACUGCACCGGCAGCACCGCGCAGCAGAGCGCUUUCUGAAUAAGGUGGGAUCUAGAACACGCAAGAAUGCCAGACAACAGGAAACACAUCACACAGUGAACGGUGCUCCUUUUACUUUCUGGCCUUGGUGUCCAAAAGCUCUUGCUGAAGUAUAAGAUAAUUAGACAAACUACACAGGCUCUAGAAAUACAAGUAUCUCCUAAGGAAAUACCAACUCCUCCCUGUCUAGAUGCUUUUCUUUUUGUUAAUAGCCAAAUACUGUGAAGUGCAUGCACAGCGUAAGAAUUCCAGUUUGUGGAGCAAAUGCAGCCCUCUUAAUUGUCACUGCAAGUGUAAGUAGUAGAAUGAACCUGUGGUAAAUCCAACAAAGGAUUUAUCAGCACUUUUCAGAAGGAAGCACAUAAUUGCUUAAAUUUUUGAUGGACUACGCCAGGCCUACAUGACAGUGCCUCGGAUUUAACCCAACUGGAAAACAUUAGUUACCUCUUGCAAACGUCUGCCUGUCCCAAAAGAAGCAGCAACCCCACGCCUUCAGAAGCGCCGCAUUUGGAAGCAAGUGUUGUACCCAUGACGUCCCUUUUCAGCCUCCCCUCCUUCCGCACCGGUCUGUCCUAAAACAACGUCAUGCCUUUCCUCACAAACUCGUGCCUUUCCCAAACCAGUUACUGUGCACAAUGAAGUCAAGCUUAGUCUGGUUCCUGUUCUGAACCCAGCCACAGCAGCAGCCUUCUGUUCAAUGCGAACGCUACCAAGCGUCAUGGAUGCAGCGCCCCGCACCCAGCGAUGGAAGCGUUCUUGCCUCUAGCCGUAACUUACCAAGGCGCUAUUCUCGUUUGGCAGAGGCUUUCACAGUAAGAACUCUGUAUUCAUUCAUCUUUUGAAAUUAUUUGUUGCUAAUAAUGAACGGACUUGCAAAGAAAAAUGUGAUUUCACAUUUUGUGCUCGGCUAACUACUCAGCAUUAUUCACUUCAAUGCCUUCCAUUUUUACUCAUCUGUCCUCCCCUCGCAACACUCCCUCCCAAGCCCUUUCGCUUUCUGUCCCUUAAACCAGCAGUCUGAAUGCAUCCAGGGUAUCUUUCUGCCCUCAAAGUUAAACACUGAUGUUUUAGUGGAAAAUCCUUCUUAUUCACAAAAUAGGUGCUGGUAUUUAGAAUGACAGUUCAGUCCCUCAUAAAUUCUCCCUUUCUAAUGUUAACAGACAUGUUAGGACGAGAGGAAACAGCCUCAAGCUGCGUCAGGGGAGGUUUAGGUUGGGUAUUAGGGAAAAUGCCUUCCCUGCCAGAGCGGUCAGGCCCUGGCACAGGCUGCCCAGAGAGGGGGGGGAGUCACCAUCCCUGGGGGCGCUCAGAAAUGUGCAGACAUGUCACUUGGGGCCAUGGUUUAGGAGGCCUGGGGGUGUUGGGUUGGGGGUUGGACUUGAUGGUCUUAGAGGUCUCUUCCAGCCUUAACGAUUCUAUGGUUCUAUGAUUCAAUAUGGCCUAAUGCAAGCCAGUAAUUGCCUCUUUUUUUUUCUAAAACCUCCUAUUACUCAAAACUGUUAUAUACAGCAGAUGUGAAAGUAACCACAUCUAUAUAAUAUUAAUGAAGUAUUACAUUGCUGCUGUAGGUUCAAACACUGCUUUUUUCUUCCAUUCUUUCCAUAUAGUUAAAUUGAGUCAAGUUCAAAAAAGGGGACAGACACAGCCAACUGUAGAGACAACUGAUUUCACAAAUAUUCCAAAUAUAAAUGGUGUCCAGUAAUGCAGACACCUAGCCAUAACCACCUGGAAACACUAUUCAGACGUAAAGCAAGGUAUUUGCAGUAACACAUAAAAGGGUGUUAUAGUUUGGUUUUAUAGCAGGUUUUACCACUUUAUGUCCAUUCAACCGUCUAAAAAGGAAAGGAAGAGGGAUAUGUUAGCGCAGAGUCUGGGUUUUCCAAAUCACCCUGACUUCUGCUGGGAGCUGAGCAGCUAACAGUGCUUUCCUGCAACGAACAACAUAGGAACACAGGGAGCUGAGGCAUUUUCAUACGUGCGGCUCUAGAAUUAGAGACUCUGCAAUAAAAUAUGAUUAAGCAAACUGAAUGUUUUAAAGGUUCAUCUUUCUUUUACUAUAUCCUGUGGAUUAAAAAAAUAAUUAAAACUACAGGCAGCAGAGAUAUUUUCUUCAACCAUGCAAUGCAAGUUCUGCUUUAUUGUGAAGGACGGAGGCUGCGCUCCCACAGCUCUUUGCCCUAGAGGGGGAAGGCAAAGGCAAAAACCUGUGAGAUGCCCAGCCUGUCAGUCCCGGAGGAGGGCACGAAGAAAAAGCUGCCCCCCCCAUAUUUCUUUCUCUCACAGAGUUGUUCUUGGGCUUAACUCCACUAUCCUGUAUUUCUAAAGUAAGAUCACUGUGAAAAUGAUAUUUUUGUUUUGUGAAAUAAUAAGUUGUAUUAUCUAAAGACUGACUUCUUUAGGAUUAGUCAGUGUAUGAAUAGGCAGAGAUUCAGAAGUGCAGUGGAAUGGGGGAUGGCACCGCACUCCAUCCUCAAUUCUCACGAUUUUAGGCACUCCACAAGAGUAACCACAUGCCCCAACUGCUUGAAUUCCUUCCACAGAGAUUUAAGGGGAACUAGACUGGUGGAGUGAACAUGCAAAGCAAUCCUGGCAGGGUUCCCCUCACAGUCAAACACAAUCAUUACUUGACACUUUUGUGACAAAAAGCCCUAUUAGUUUCUUCAAGUACCGCAUGUGAGACUUAUUUCUGUGUAGUCUAGGGAAGACUGCACUUCCUUAUAAUCUGAGUAAUUUCUUCGGAAAAUAAUUCUGAGUUAGGGCAAGGAAAAAAUAAAUCAAUCUUACAGAAAGCUGCAGAAAAGAAAAGCAUAGUCACAACUACAUGCCCGAAGUGUCUCAUGGCAGUCAGCGCCAUUCUCUGAACAGGGAAAAGGAAGAGAAACCUGUUUUCUGUUCAUUCUUGAGGGUAGCUUCAUUUACUUAGAAAUCAUUUUUGGUCUUAGGCAGUGGAUUAUUGUCUCUUUCUAGUUAAGAAACUAAACUAGCUGAGGUGCAUUAUCAGAAAAUUAAGGUUUCAAGAUGAAGGUAUCCAUAGUGGAAAGGUAACAGGGCUGCAGUCUGAAGAGCCGCCCCCCCCGGCGAAUCUCCAUUCACUGACGCAGCAAGCACGAGCAGACAGCUGAAGAACAGCGCGGGGUCUCCGCCAGAACUACCCAAAGUUACCAGCGGUAAAUGAAAACCUAACCGAAGAACACCGAGCAGGUGAGACUGGUAAGGGGAAAGGAUUAAAGCAGGGAGAAGUGUCUACUGAGGCACUGCAAAAUGUGUGGGCACAAAACCAGGCUUGCUUAACUUCAAGGAUCUAGUAAAAGCAGCAUGUAAAAUUACAUUUGGAGAGGACAAAGUAAGAGGCGUUUAAAACUCCAUUGAGGACAAUGAAGUACUAAAGGACCUGAAGAGGUCAGAAAUAUGGCAGGAAAUGAAAUGGGAUUCAACCUACAAAAUUGCAACCUGGUUCAUCUGGGGAAAAAUAAUCCAGAACACAAAUAUUAAAUGACAAGGAGAUAUUUGCAAAGCAGUAAAAUAAAACAAAACUUUAAAAAACCACCCCACCUCUUGGGGGAAAAUAGCGAGCAGAAAACUGGAUAUCAAUUUGCAACGUGAUAUGGCAGUAAAACCAGCCAGCACAGUUCUGGAUGACUUGCAGAGCACAGCUUGUCACAGACCCGGGAUAUGACGGUCCCUUUUCACACAAUACUGAUGGGAACUUACAGGCCGGGGGGAUUUCAAAGUAACUCAGCAGCAGCAAUGGAGGAAUCUGGAUAGGCUAAUGACAGAGGAAUGUAAACCCGUAAAAUCGAGUUCAGCAGUGACUGAAGAUGGGAGGUGGGGCUAACACUGAGGCAAAGCCAGUGUCUACAGCCAUUUAACAGGGUGCCACCGGAGUAAAAUGGACAAACUCGCUCAAAAUAAAACCGACCGUUUGAGAAAACAGUUCGUUAUAAAGACCCGUUAUCCCGCUGGGAAAAAAGAGGAAAGAGGAUAUGAAGGAAAUCAUGCUGCCCAAGUCAUUUACAGAUUAGAUUAAUAAAUCAGCUGAACUGUCCUGUACGCAACAUUGCCAGAUUUACACAACACAAUGAACACUCGCCGACAAAUUCUUGUUUCUAGGAAAAUCUUAGGGGGGGCUUACCAGAAGAAUAAUGUCUCGCUCACCAGAGUCACGGCCCAUACAUGACUGACAUUACUGUAAAGACCCUUGAAGUAAGGUCCAGAUCAAGUCCAAGGUCGGGAUGGAAUUUGGAACACAUACAGAGGUGUUAAGGUUCAAGUAAUAUUUAACCUUAAAACUUGAGAACCUUGGGAAUAUACUGUUUGCAGUACAUUAGCUGAGUUGGUGUUCCAUACAGUCGGGUACCUAUUUUCUACUACUUCUCAGUGUCAUUGACACCCACGCUCCCAGGUUUUCUGCUUUAGACCUUACAAUCCAAACCACAGCUAUCAGAGAGAUGGACACACGAAGGAAAAACAGAAUUAAAAUCACCUGCUGUUGAUGUUGUCUCAAACUUUGCAACCUCACUGCACUUUUCUGGGUGAAAGCAUGGAAGCGGUGAGGAAAAGAACAACUAGUACAGGCUGCUCCUUUGCAGGCAAAGCACAUUUAAAAGAAUCAAAUAUUUACAUAAGAAGUUUCUGUGACCAUACUGGCUUGCCAAUCUCAAACUAUUCCUAACUAACGCGGUCUAGUUCCCUGAACGAAUUCAUUAGAAUUGGGUAGGUCACAGACUUCUCUCCUUACUUCUAAGUUUCACAUUGUGACUGUCAGAAAAGAAUACAAACCCUUGCAACAACAGUUCAAGAAUAAUCUUAAACUUGCACUGACCUGGCAGAAGCCUGAGAGAAAGCCACAAGGGCAGUUUCCUCCGCUGCUUGUGAAGUUAGACACACAUCUAAAUAUAAAUGUUCUUUACUUGUGCUGCACCAGGACUUAAAACACGUUUCUAGGAGAGAGCUUUCCAAGCAGAUCUAGAGGCAUAACAGCUUUCCUGUUUUGAACUGGUCUUUAAGACUUUUGGCAGUAUAUGACAAAUAUGGAAAUAAUCAGAACUCUUGUAUGUGACACUAGAGUACUUGGAACACAUAAAACCCACUCAAAAAAGGUAUCAAGUCACAGGCAUUAACUGCUUAUAAAUUAGAUGUAUGCUGCAUUGUCAACAACUAUUUUAUGCUCUCCCCUGCAUUAAAAUUUAAAAGUAUUAAGGCAGCUUUAUUAAUAAAAAACAAGCAUAAUAAAUUAUAUGAUUACAUAAUAAGUUAUAAGAUUAGGCUUGAAAAAAUCCUGCCUAAAGUCAGAUUUUAAAAAUAUUUUCUCAUCCUUUAAACACAUCACCUUUUAAACGACCACUGAAGCUACAAAGCCAUCGUCUGCCUCUCAGCCGCAUUAGUCUGGCUCCAUGUUCCAAACACAGGGUUACGCUGGCUGCCGGCGUCCCGAUACAAAUCAAUACAUUCUGAAGCCACGAGACCUACGCCCGCGCAGCGUGACCACAGUAACACAAGCCACAGAGUCUCCCUCAGCGUUCUGCCCGCCCAGUGACUCUGCUGGCAUUAGGACAUGCCUUUUAGGAAAGCCUACAACCUCAGUUAAAAUUCACCUCACUCAGAACUGAUCCAAUGGUUAAAGUCAAGCAGCUUAAAUUCAGGGCUUUUUAAAAAUUCAACCAUGUAAUUAGAGAAUUGUGAGGGGCCUAUACUUCACGCUCAUGUAUCAUGCUAUUUAAAUGCAACUGUAAUUAACUGGUUGACUCAACUUUGCACCAAUACCAGAAACUCGCACACACGCUGUCGGUCUCAAGAAAAGGUCAAGAUGGCUCUUACCAAGCUGAUUAACUCCCAUUCUUCAACUGCUCAAAACUACACUCGAGGUCAGUUACUGCCAUAAACUGCGAUUCGGCAGGGUUAGCUGUUUUUGUGCACUUUGCUUGGAAGAGUCCACAUGGCCCAGCAUGCUUAAACAGAAUAUUCAACUGGAGCCAGCAGCUCGGGUUUGGAACACUGUCCUAUUUUGAUUCCAAACCACACAUAUUUGAACAGUUAACAAAUGCAGCAGGGGGAUAUUGGUACACAGCAGUCUAAAAAAUGUACAAAUCCUUUGUUGGACUUUUUUUUUUUUUUUUUAAAUACACCCGAAAGAACAAUCUGGUUGCUUCGUUAUAUAAGCACAUCAAAAAAAACCCCUUACCAAACAAAAGAUGAGUGCAACGUUGCUUUUAUGUGGUGAUGAUGUUAUUUGGGGUUUUUUCCCCUCCUACAUUAUCUACAUGUUCUCAAGUAUAUUUGUUUAUCUAAAAUAAGUUUUGAUCAGAUUUUUUUAGACUGGAGAGGUGUAGCAAGUGGGAAAGGUUUGGUUUGUUGUUUGGUUUUUUUCUCCUUGUAUAAGGUUGCUGUAUCAGAAACUUUUUGCAGAGUGUGUGUAAACACUAAAGUAAUUUCACAGUGUGCUCGUCUAGGACGUUAGUGUGCCAGAAUCUAGCGGAAGCAAAAACGUGGUUCAGCUCAUCUGUCUUAACCUCAUCCCUUAACUGACAGUUAACACGUUGAAAGGAAAUACGUCCCGUAGGCAAACACAAGCUAGAGAUAAGGUUGGCUGAAGGCAACUCUCCCAGUCGCUGUCUGGUUUGUCAACUGUUGGUAACAUCACGGCUCCUGUGCACAGGCUGUAUCUCACAGAGGUAUGUCAAAACAGGAAUUUAAAGUAUAUAUGUGUCUUGAAACAAACUAACACAAACACAGCUGAACUGGUAAGACAACUAACAGUACAGCCAGGUGUGUUUCUCCCCACCUUUAAAUAAAUCAACCAAUCUGUACCAUCACAAAAUUAAGACACAUACAAGCAAAAGAGCAGUCGUGUUUUCUCAGGGAUGCGCUCAGAGCUCCCGUGUAAUUUUAUGUGUGCACAUACUUAUCAAAGAGUAACCCUUGACCUCUUGGGUUUACAAAUCAAGCUACGCACCAAAUACAUAAGACACACGUGAACACCUCCAUUUUCGCAGCACUGCACACCUAGGUUCACCCUUCAAAGUUUCCUGCACCUCACCCACACUCCAUCGAGCUCGUUGUUCUUUACUGGAACGCUGAUGGUAGACGCUUCAGGACCCCAGGCAUGGUACAAUAAAACACAGGAAAUGGAAAAGCCAAAUGGGAAGACAAAACAACCAGAAAACCCAACUUUUGGCAAGCAUUUUCCUCUAAGUUUUCUGCCAAUAAAUUUACUUAGGAUUUUCUUUCACUUCUUCAGCACGCAGGAUCUCACAUACGUAGAACAGGGCUUCUUGGCACAGCGCCAUCAUAUACAGUGAGCUCUUGGCCACAGAGAGUAAAAAGAAUCUUCUCUCAGAGUGGCCUUUUUAGAACUUAGCCCUCUCCCUCUUCCACGUUCAUAGUCAGUGCUAACGAACAUUCAUUUACUUUAAAUAUAAUUAUUGUUAUUUUGUAGAGACCACAUCGCACUAGCACCCGGACACGGGAAGCAAGCCAGAGCAUCUGUCCUGACGUGCCGACACUUAUCGCCCACGUAUGUGCGGGUAAACGGGUAAGCAUGUGGCCAUAAGGGCACAUAUCCCCGCUUCGUGUAAGCGAGAACUGUUGUACCAAACGACAGCUGGAAGAUAAUGCCACUCUACUGAUGCCACAACUCUUCAAACCUUUGCAGAAUUGUUUUUCUACACAACUAAAUGGAAGCUGGAGGUCGAGCAGGGAGAACUCUUCCAUUUAAGCUCUGCAUAAGGAUUCCAUCUCAUCACAUACAGCCUUUUAAAAAUUCUGCUUUAAUCUAAUGCCGAAGCUUAGUAAUCCCUAUUUGAUGCUGCAGCGUUCCCAUGCAAACUGCACUCCUGUUACAGUGUCAACAAAUGCCGUCUAUUAAAGAAAAAGCAAAUUGAGUGAAAUGGGCUACAUCACUAAUAACAGCUCACAGUAAUUGUUGAUUAAAUGAUUGCUGCUUUGGGUAAGGAAAGAUAAUCAGAUCAGAAACUGCAGCAGGUAUUUACACGCACUUUUACAGUUUUAUUGAUUGGAAACAUAAACCGCGUACUGACCUGGGG
Molecule: non-coding RNA, 15139 nt
Organism: Phalacrocorax carbo (great cormorant)
Lineage: Eukaryota; Metazoa; Chordata; Aves; Suliformes; Phalacrocoracidae
Source: RefSeq, a predicted model, not a curated record